UACGGAGGUUGCAAGCGUUAAUCGGAAUUACUGGGCGUAAAGCGUGCGUAGGGGGCUGCUUAAGUCAGAUGUGAAAGCCCCGGGCUUAACCUGGGAACGGCAUUUGAUACUGGGCAGCUCGAGUUGAGUAGAGGAGAGGGGAAUUUCCGGUGUAGCGGUGAAAUGCGUAGAGAUCGGAAGGAACACCAGUGGCGAAGGCGGCUCUCUGGACUCAAACUGACGCUGAGGUACGAAAGCGUGGGUAGCAAACAGG
This 253-nucleotide ribosomal RNA is filed under the name uncultured bacterium. RNAcentral's name for it is "partial 16S ribosomal RNA". It matches the Rfam family "Bacterial small subunit ribosomal RNA", at positions 524 to 776 of the family's 1533-position model. The record is from RNAcentral.